Molecule: unclassified non-coding RNA, 434 nt
Filed under: Hevea brasiliensis (rubber tree)
Lineage: Eukaryota; Viridiplantae; Streptophyta; Magnoliopsida; Malpighiales; Euphorbiaceae
Source: RNAcentral
UUUCUCUCUCUCUCUCUCUCAUUGAUGAUUGAAUGUUAGUCUUUUAGCUUGACCUAAUACUCCAGAUUGUUAAAGUGCCAAAAGGAGAAGUCUCAUUUUCUUCUUCCUGUUUUCUGCUUCUUGUUAUCUUGUUUAAAAUGAAGCGGCCAGCUUUUAUUUGUUUAUUUGCAAAAUUAUCUGUUUGUAUAUCUGGGUGGGCUAAGACAAAAUUCUAAUUCUUAUAUCAAUACUAGCAUAGCAAUAGUUUUUGUUUAAAUUUCUCUUAAUUCAUCAUCUAAAAGAUCUUUGUUUCAACUUAUUUAAAUUCUGAGAGAUUUAUUUUAUGCCAUAAGACUUUUUUAUGAAUUGAUUCUAAAAACCUUUUGUGAUGGUAUUGAGUAGGGGAUUUUGUGCUGUCAUGUAAAUGGGGCAGGUUCCAAAGCUUCUGUUGCAUA